UUCCUACCUACUCCAAUUCAAAUUAUUAUGAGAGACAAAAGAUUGAGAGAAGUAAGGGAGUGAAAGGUGGUAAUCCAAGAGUGAAAAAAGGAGAGGUUGUGUUGAGCGAAGUGAGGGAAUUACCACCAAACCGUGCUAACUUUGGUUGUCCUUCUAUUUCUAUGGACAUUUGUGUAGGUACCAACAUGGCAAGCGAAGGCGACCAAUGUCAAAAGGAAGUUGCUGCCCAAGCUUAUGGAUGACCUUCACCUCACGGCAAGAAAGAG
This 266-nucleotide long non-coding RNA is filed under the name Capsicum annuum. RNAcentral's name for it is "long non-coding RNA (CANN_LNC008086)". The record is from RNAcentral. Lineage: Eukaryota; Viridiplantae; Streptophyta; Magnoliopsida; Solanales; Solanaceae.